Molecule: long non-coding RNA, 910 nt
Organism: Peromyscus leucopus (white-footed mouse)
Lineage: Eukaryota; Metazoa; Chordata; Mammalia; Rodentia; Cricetidae
Exons: 3
Source: RefSeq, a predicted model, not a curated record
GGCUUCGGGAUGUUGCACGGUCUUUGAGCUCCAUUUUUCUGGGGGAAACGGGAGGAACUCCCUCAUCGCUUGCAAAUUGCCAGCCACCCAGGCCUGCAGUGGGCGGGGCUCUCGGGGACCCAGCAGCACACCUGCAAGGGCUUUGUGCUCCUACAAUCCCCAGCCUCCACAGGGAAGGAUGAACAGAAAGAAGCGCCAGGCUUUCCAAGCAGUGGGUUUUAGAAAACACACCCACGGCUGCCACUGAAUAACGAGCUCCUCCGAGGCCUUUGCAGAGCCCCUGUAGUCCCUGCUCCGGAACUGUGGAUGCGUCUGAUGGGGAGAGGGGUCUGUCAGCCCCCGGGGCUGUGAAGCCCACAGAGUGGAUUCGUGGAGUGGCGCCAGGACAGGCAGGCCUGGAACUGGAAUCCUCCUGCCUCUGCCUCUAGAGGGCUAGAAUCAGUCAACCACCAUGCCUGCCUAGAUCCUGAACUGGUUUCUGUACUCCGGGUCCCUGGAGCAGCCUCGGCACAGCCAGCCCCUGUCCCCACUGUGGCGUCUUGUAGAAGUUUUCCUCCCUGCACAGACAAGGAAGGAAGUGCCCAAGACACCCCAAGCCUGCAUCCAGGUGUCUGCUGAGCAGCCGGUGAUGGACCCCGUCCCCCGAUAAAGGCGUCUCUAGCUCUAUUCUCUACUCUUCAUGUGAUGCGUAUGAACACCCAGCUCCCUUUCCCGGGGCUUGCAGCCCUGCGGUCUUUAAAUCUGGACAGUGUUCUCUUUGUGUUUUGUGAGUACAGUCAGCGGCCGGCCGCACACGCGCUGAGGACCUCGGGCCUCCCACCUCCUCCCCAGACUUGGCCACUAAGGUCACUGCUACCUCAAGUGGGGCAGGUGUAGGUGUGGGGCAGGGGUGGGGGAGGGAGAAACCAGC